RNAcentral lists this ribosomal RNA (237 nucleotides) under uncultured Actinomycetales bacterium. RNAcentral's name for it is "partial 16S ribosomal RNA". It matches the Rfam family "Bacterial small subunit ribosomal RNA", at positions 96 to 334 of the family's 1533-position model. The record is from RNAcentral. Lineage: Bacteria; Bacillati; Actinomycetota; Actinomycetes; Actinomycetales.
UGGCGAACGGGUGAGUAACACGUGAGUAACCUGCCCUUGACUUUGGGAUAACUUCAGGAAACUGGGGCUAAUACCGGAUAGGAGCUCCUGCUGCAUGGUGGGGGUUGGAAAGUUUCGGCGGUUGGGGAUGGACUCGCGGCCUAUCAGCUUGUUGGUGGGGUAGUGGCUUACCAAGGCUUUGACGGGUAGCCGGCCUGAGAGGGUGACCGGCAACAUUGGGACUGAGAUACGGCCCAG